RNAcentral lists this long non-coding RNA (3696 nucleotides) under Canis lupus familiaris (dog). RNAcentral describes it as "lncRNA (ENSCAFG00845015910.1)". Lineage: Eukaryota; Metazoa; Chordata; Mammalia; Carnivora; Canidae. The record is from RNAcentral.
UGAGGAAAUAUAUGAACUACAUCGGUAGAUUUUUCUAAUGGAAACAAUCCUUACCUUCUUGAAAUUAAUGCCGCUUGACCAUGAGUGUUUGAUCAGGGAAGCAGAACAAUUAUGAAUGACAAAGCAUAAAGGAAUUAUUAUAAGGAAUAGGAAGGGAGAACUGAAGAACUAGAGGUCUGGAAGGAGAUAGUUGGAGGAUCAGAUAAAAGUUACUUAUCAGGGAUCUUAAAAUAGAGAGCUAGUAGAGGAGUCCAUAGAAUGCUAGACUUCUGUGUCAGGCAAUAGGCCAGAAUCUCCAUAUAUUGACAUGCUGACAGUCUAGAAGUAAAUCAGGCAAGAGUUGGGAUGAAUUGCAAUCCAUGAGUACAGGCCAAAUCUUUCAUUCACCAUCUUUAACCUUGAUUAUGAAGUGAUAUGGUAAAAAAGCUUCAUUUGGCCCAGGAUGCAUAAUCUGCCAGAUAUCUAGUUGGAUAUAAGGUGCUGCAGGCCCAGUUGCUGCUGAUUGGCAGCAAAUAAACCAGUGGAUGACACAUGGGAUGCAGUGGCUCCUAGAUCCCUACUCUGACUUUCAGAAGGUAAUGAUUGCUGCUUUACUUCUGCUUCCCAGAUUUAAUGCAAAUUUUUCUUGUGCCACAUACCUGGCCCAGAACCAUACAUGGGAGUGAAUUAUGGGAAAUACAGUUCUCAUUUAAUUAAUUAAUAAUAUAAAACCACAACUACAAUUAACUUGAAAAAUACAUGUCUCCCUCUGCCUCUCUCUCUCUCAUGAGUAAAUAAAUAAAAAAUUUAAAAAAAAAUACAUGUAAAAAUGUUUCACUUAUAAAUUUUAAUUUAUAUUUAGCAGUUAUAUUUGUGUGUGAUCUUAGAAGGGCCUUUUUUCCAGGUUUAUUAUCAAUAUAUGCUAUUUUUACAAAGAAAAAGGCUAAUUUAUUUCAUCAUGAGUCUCCAAAUUAAUUUUGCAAAAUCAUGCCAAGUUAUCUAUGCUCCUUGAAGAUAUGAAAUCACUGCUGAAACAAAAGAAGAAAAUUGGCAGAGGAUGGUGUUUUCUUUUUUGAGGAGUAGUUAUUUGGCAGCAUUCUCAAUUUUUAAAAUUAUUUCAUUGGCGUUUUGAUAAUCCAUUUAGUUCUUAACUUUGUUAAUUUAUAUUUUCCCUAAUAAUCAGCCAUGCCAUCCAGAUUCCAGAUUAGCCUGGUAAUAACAAAUUUAAAGUAAUCUUUUAUAUCUUUGCUAAUAUAAUAUUCUCUUCUUAAUUUAAUUAUCUUUUUUUCUAGAUUAAACUAGAAGUAAACAAUCUCUUUUAUUGAUAUUUUUAAGGUACCAGUUCUUAGAUUUGUCUAAAUCAAUUUUUAUAUUUUUCUAGGUCAUGAAUUUUUCAUGUUAAUUUGUUCCUUUUGUUUUCUGUAUUUUUAUUUGAAAUUGAGGAAGAAGACUGAUGUUCUUUUUUUUUUUUUCUGAUGUUCUUUUUAUACAGUCUUAUAGGUUAUGUUAGUUUAGUUGGUUUGUUUUUAUAUAAUAAUUUUUUUAUCUUUCAGCAAUCUCUACAUCUCAUAAAUUAUUAAAUGUAAUAUGCUCAUGAAUUUAUGUCCUUUCUAAAUAUUGUGAACCUAUUAAUAUUGCCAUCUUCUUUAUCCAAAAAUGACCCUUGCUAAUCCAAAUAUUAUAGUAAUGUAUUUAUAAAAUGUAUUGACAGUACUAUUUCUGAUUUUUUAAAAAUUCAUGGUACAACUAGGUUUAGUUUUUGAUGUAUUAUUUUAUAUCCUAAAUUUUAAAAUACUUACUACAAUUUUGUAUCGAGGUAUAAUGUAUGUGUGAAGUACACAAAUUGUCAACAUACAGCUUCAUACAAUUUUUAAAAUAUGCAUACAAUGUGUAACCAUCCUCCAAAUAAGCGUAUAGAAAAUUUCCAGUAUCCCAGGUUUUUCAUGCCCUAUUCCAGACAAUAACUCCCACUUCUGCAAAAAAAGUAGUCCACUCUGAAUUCUGUUCCUGCAUAUUAAUUUAAUCUAUUCUUGAGCUUCCUAUAGAAAGAAUCACAGCAUCUACUUUUUAAAAUCUAAAUUGUAUCUUAUGUAUUCUUCUGAUUUUGGCCUUACUUCCUUUAACACUUACCUUUGUUGUUGCCUUUGGUCAUAGUUUGUCCUGAUUAUAUUACUAAAUGGUAUUUCAUUUAUACAAUAUACAAUUUAUUAAUCUACUUUAGGAUUAAUAGGUAUUUGAAUUGUUAAGUAUUUAGCUAUUAUGAACAAAGCUGAAAAUAGUGUUACUAUGCAUGUUUUUGUUUUUGUUUUUUUUGCGGGGGGGGAGCACAUGUAUUAAUAUGUUUUAGUUCUAUACCUAAGAGGCAUUUCUAUCACAGGCUAGAAGUAUGUUUCACCUUAGUAGAUACCACCAAAUUGUUUCCGAAAUGGUUGUACCAAUAUAUGCUCCCAGCUGCAGUAUGUCAGGUUUCUGGUUGCUGCAUAUCAUCAACAAAACUUGGUAUUGUUCAUCCAAUAUUUUUUGGUGCUUACUAUGUGACAGGUAUUUUAGUAAAUGCACUUUUAUUAAUGAAUUUCCACCCAAAGCAGUAUCAUAGAGUAGUUAUUGUUCUGCACAGAAUUUACUUUUUGUUCUUGUUUUGGUGAUAUUUUAUUGAAAUACAACUUACGUGGAGUUAUAUUAAAUAUGUUUUUUACAUAUAAAAUGUAUUUUCUCUAUCAAGAUAGAGAAAAUUUUGUCACCUGGAAUUCUUUCUUGUGCUAUGGCCCCAACCAGUCAGUACCAAAUUAACCCAGCAAGCACAAUGAUUAUUCUGAUUUCUAUUGCUAAAGAUGGAUUUGGCCCACUUAUAACCUUAUAUAAAUGGAAUCAUACAGUAUAUACUCUUGUGCCUGAAGUCUUUCACUAAAACUUAUGUCUGUGAGAUUCAACAAUGUUGCUGAGCUCAUUCUCUUAUAGUGUGCAUAGUAGUUCAUUCUUUUUUAUGCUAUUUCACUGUAUGAAUAUUAUUCCACAGUUUAUUUACCUAUUCCAUGUUGAGGGGAACUUGGGUUUAUUACAUUAUGAAGCCAUUGCCAACAAAAUUGUUAUGAAUGUAUUGAUCAUGCCUUCUGGUCAACAUCAUUACUUACUUCAGGGAGGAUAUACUCAGCAGUACAGUUGCUGAGUAAGGACAUAUGUAUGUUUAGUUGUAGUAGAUAAAACCAAAGUGUAAUACCCUGCUUUUUAUUUCUUUGUUUUAACAUUAGUUUCAGAAAGAAUAUUUGCUACCUAGAAUUUACAGUCUCUAUUUCAUGGCAACACUGGAUAAUGGCUUUGUGAAAUUGAAAAAAAAUUUGGAGCAACUGUAAUCAGAAAUGCCAAAUUAUUGAUGGUUAUUGUUGCUGCUUCAAAUAUGUAUUGAAUUAAUGUGUAAGAAAGCCCAUUCUUUCAUGUUAAAUACUUGGGAGGGAGGAGAGGAGGGGGUCCCUUUCUUAAAUGAAAAUUUCUUAAAUGAAAAUAAUUACUGCGAUUUUAAAAUUUCUUCAUCAUUGAAUGUGAGACCCUUCUAACACGAUUUAAGAAGCUGUACAAGUAUAGGCAGAGUUAUUUUCCUGUUUACAUUUUUUUUGGUUUGUUUUGGGAAAGAAUUGGUAGGUGUCUAAUUACUGUUUACUUCAUUAUUAUAUUGCAGUAAAAGUUUUAAAACCACCACCACCAAAAAAAAAAAAAAAAAAA